This 770-nucleotide ribosomal RNA is filed under the name Nocardia sp. RNAcentral's name for it is "bacterial SSU rRNA". It matches the Rfam family "Bacterial small subunit ribosomal RNA", at positions 60 to 845 of the family's 1533-position model. The record is from RNAcentral. Lineage: Bacteria; Bacillati; Actinomycetota; Actinomycetes; Mycobacteriales; Nocardiaceae.
AGUCGAGCGGUAAGGCCCUUCGGGGUACACGAGCGGCGAACGGGUGAGUAACACGUGGGUGAUCUGCCCUGCACUUCGGGAUAAGCCUGGGAAACUGGGUCUAAUACCGGAUAUGACCAUUGGUUGCAUGACUGGUGGUGGAAAGAUUUAUCGGUGCAGGAUGGGCCCGCGGCCUAUCAGCUUGUUGGUGGGGUAAUGGCCUACCAAGGCGACGACGGGUAGCCGACCUGAGAGGGUGACCGGCCACACUGGGACUGAGACACGGCCCAGACUCCUACGGGAGGCAGCAGUGGGGAAUAUUGCACAAUGGGCGGAAGCCUGAUGCAGCGACGCCGCGUGAGGGAUGACGGCCUUCGGGUUGUAAACCUCUUUCGACAGGGACGAAGCGUAAGUGACGGUACCUGUAGAAGAAGCACCGGCCAACUACGUGCCAGCAGCCGCGGUAAUACGUAGGGUGCGAGCGUUGUCCGGAAUUACUGGGCGUAAAGAGCUUGUAGGCGGUUCGUCGCGUCGAUCGUGAAAACCUACCGCUCAACGGUGGGCUUGCGGUCGAUACGGGCGGACUAGAGUACUUCAGGGGAGACUGGAAUUCCUGGUGUAGCGGUGAAAUGCGCAGAUAUCAGGAGGAACACCGGUGGCGAAGGCGGGUCUCUGGGAAGUAACUGACGCUGAGAAGCGAAAGCGUGGGUAGCGAACAGGAUUAGAUACCCUGGUAGUCCACGCCGUAAACGGUGGGUACUAGGUGUGGGUUUCCUUCCACGGGAUCCGUG